Molecule: ribosomal RNA, 2679 nt
Filed under: Triticum aestivum (bread wheat)
Lineage: Eukaryota; Viridiplantae; Streptophyta; Magnoliopsida; Poales; Poaceae
Description: partial small subunit ribosomal RNA
Source: RNAcentral
AUGAUCAAUCUGUUCGAUUUGAGCGCUGGAGCCAGCGCCAGGGUCGCCACCAGAGAUGGUUCUCCGGUGAGAGGAACACAGUCGGACCGGAAGGAGUACGCCGAUCUCAAGUCGACGGUGACUGGCAGCAUGAGGAGGAGCUCGUCGGACAGAUCCGGCGGUACGCCCAUGAAAACGCUGAUAGCGCAGGAGAUGGCAAAGGAGGGGGACACAAAUCAGAAGAACACUAAUGUUAUAGCAAGGCUGAUGGGUCUCGACGAAGGUGUGGCCUUUCCCAAGCCUGUUCAACCUUCCAGCAGGAGGAGAUCUCCAGAGUGCCAUUUAUCAACCACGAUGGCAAGGGUCAACAACCAAAUGUCAUUCGACAAGCAUGCGAGCUCUGUUGAAAAUGUGGAAUAUAAGGAUGUCUAUGAGGUGGGAUACCAGCCACAAAGGUGUGAGCAUUUGAGCGACGAUUCUUCACACGGAGGGAGGCCACAUGAAGAUCAUGACAAGAAAAGAAUGGAUCUCGUCCGGCAGAAGUUUGUUGAAGCAAAGCAGCUAGCCUCACAUGAGAAUCUUCUCCAAUCGAAAGAAUUCCAUGAUGCUCUGGAGACUUUGAAUUCAAACAGGGACUUGUUUCUCAAGUUCCUCGAAGAACCCAACUCGCUCUUUGCAAAGCAAUCUGGUGAAUUCUAUUCCACGCCAACGUCACCACAGAGGAAGCAAAUAACCGUGUUGAAGCCUGCUAGAUCAGUGGAGCUGAAGAGUGAAAAUGCACUUAAAAGGCAGCAAAACCAUGCAGUUCAAGGGAGUAGAACAGAGAAAAGCAAUCUUUGUAGGAAGCCCAAUGCUGGUCAUGCCAGAGCAGAAAGGCGUCCACAGCACACCCGGAUAGUGGUCUUAAAACCUACCUCCGCAAUCACAACAGCAGAGCAGUUUCAACAAAAUGGUCAUGGUAACUCUGAUGAUUCUGAUGCUCCUGAUGUAUCAAGGCAUGUGAGUGAUGAGAUACACUGGUCAGCACACGGCAUGUGUCACCAGCAUGAUGAGUGUUUGCAGGGUAGCGUACAGUCAAAUAUGGUCGGGCGAGAUAGAUCAUAUUAUGAUCGCGCUGAAGAAGGACGGAGUAGCUUCAGUGGCUCGGAGCUUGGAAGUCCAACAUCAUGCCAUUCUUGGGAUUACAUCUACCGGUUUAGCAAUCCUUAUUUUGGCUCAUCUUUAAGCCAUGCUUCUUGUUCUCCUGAGGCACAUGUAGCUAGGGAGGGUAAGAAGCAUACCUCUGAUAGGUGGCCAAGUGCAUCUUCCAAUGAGAUUAUCCGAGAAAACGUGCCGAUGCGAAGGAGCUUGAGCACGCUUGGUGAAAUGCUUGCCAUGUCUGAUAUGAAGAAAGAAGAUGUUGUUGAUCAGGUGGCCACUAAUGCCAGCAGCCAGUUGUGUGGCAACGAACCAAGAGUCGCCGUACCAUCUAAUUGUUCUGUUGAUGGUGCGGAAGGAGAAAGCUCAAGCAAUAAAAUUUCAAGGUCAAAAUCUGUUCCAGUCUCUUCAUCAGCCUUUGGCAGCCUGCGUUUAGAUGCUAGAUCUUCAGAUUCUCAACAUAGAGAAGCCACAACCCCGAAGGAGGCGGCCAAGCCUAGGAGUGGGAAGUCAUCUCUCAAGGGAAAGAUUUCGAGCUUCUUCUCAAUGCGUAGGAAAGCCGGAAAAGAGAAGCUCAUCACAUCUCCCUCGGGUAGCCUGAAUGGCAGAGUUCCUGUGGACAGUGAUGUAGUAGUUGGUGUAUCACAGUCGGCCUGUACUGGCCUACAAGACGAUGUUGCUUCAGAGAAUUUAGAAGAUAAGUAUCAGUAUGCAACAAUAGUACUUCCGGUCAAGGAAUCAGAGGCACUUUCUUCUUCUAAGGCACUAAUUUCUUUUGAGAAAGCACACUCAUUUGAGAUUCGGAAUUCACACUUUGAUGAGCCCAGUCCUACAUCAGUUCUCGAUGCGCUGUUUGAGGAUAGGAAUGAAAAGUCUGCCAGUUCAUCAGAAAGUGCAAUUACCGCUAAACAAGAACCUUUAUCGAGAUGUCUUCCGAUCGGAUCGGUUGCGCGGACGUUAUCAUGGGAUGAUUCCUCCGAAGAAGAGGCCGCGCCGUGCUCUAGCAAAGAAGAAGAUUCCCACGAGCAAGAGCAGUACGAAUUCGUCGAGAAGAUCCUAUCAUCCGCCGGCCUCUGCAACGGGGCGACCAGCAACGUCUUCGCCCGGUGGCACUCGCUCGACAGCCCUCUGGCCCCAAACGUGCCCGACCAGUUCCUGGAGCGCAAGGUGGAGGACGCCAAGUGCAGAGAGCGGCGGUCGAGCCAGAGGCUCCUCAUCGACUCCGUCAACGCCGCGCUGCUUGACAUCGGCCAGAGCAAGCUCUGGGGCGCAUACCCUUGCACCGCAGGGCCGAUCAUCAUCAACGUAUCGCAGCGAGACGAACCGGUGGGCGACGCGGCAUGGAGGCUGGUGAAAGGCUGGCUGUCGGACGACGAGGCGGGCAACGGGCUGCCGGACAAUGUGGGCGCCGCGGCGGACCGGGUCGUCGGCGAGGAGAUCGGGGGCAGGGGGUGGUCCGAGAUGCUGCGGCUGGAGGUGGACGACAUGACCAAGGAGAUAUGCGGGGGUGUCCUGGGCGAGGUCGUUGAGGAGGCGCUGUCAGAGCUCGCCGGGCGCCGUUGA